GAUGAACUUAAUUCCUGGUAAUGGGCCAGGUGAAUAUUGUUUGGAAAGUGGAAUGCACCUGUUUGAAUAGAAUAAUUAGCAUUUGUGAGAUUCAGAUGUGCAUGUAGAUUUCAAAAAUUCUCUCUCUGUUGUUUAGAUAUUUCUGAAUAUUUAUUUUUUGGAUUUCAAUAUUUAAGUUAGUACAUGGGAAUAGCUGUCGGCAAACAGUGGAUAUCCAUUAACCAUUUUGUUUUCAGUAUCAAUAUGUGCACGGCACAUGUUUUACAUAUUUCAACAUUAAGCACUGUGAUGGGAGGUGACAUAUUUUUAGCUAAUUGGUUGGUUGAUGUUAAUGCCAUCUUCAAGUCCUAUAAUACCAUCCUUUGCCUUUGUAUAUUAUUUCUUAUAACUUCAGCAGUGCUUGGGUGUCAUACAGAAACUAGUAAAUUUUGUUUGAUGUUGAGGCACAUUUUCAAUACCAAAUAUAUUUAUGUAUAAGCAUAGAAAGAAAUCUUAAGAAAUGUCCAAUCAAAUCCUAUUUGCCAGUAUUCAUCCACAGUUAAUACAAUAUUAUCAUAUUGAACUCUUUCUUAUCAAAACAAUUGAGUGCCAUGCUGUUUAGGAAAACAUUUUGUAAGGAUUGUAUGUAAAGUAUAUACCUUUAUGUAUGUUGUUUACAUGUCCAAUGUAGAAGGUUCUAGACUUUUGCGAAUUCUAUGAUAUUGAAAAACUCAGUCCCAUUAUUAAAUGCGUAUGUUCAUUGAGAACUGAGUGAUGCAUCAUUUUCCAAGUCAAUAAACACUCUGCUGUUUAAUGUUGUAAAAUUGCUUUUACCCCUCUGUUAUUGGAGAGUUGUGGCGACAACCAUCGAUUAUAUAAUAACGAAGCCUGCUCUAACCAUGAGACAUGUUCUAUACUAGUUUACCUUGAUUGAAGUUAUGCACGGAUUGAUUGACCUUUUAAGUUUUGUUGUUACGCUAAAUCUGCAGGUUUUGGAUGAAAUUCAUCGC
This 989-nucleotide unclassified non-coding RNA is filed under the name Hevea brasiliensis (rubber tree). The record is from RNAcentral. Lineage: Eukaryota; Viridiplantae; Streptophyta; Magnoliopsida; Malpighiales; Euphorbiaceae.